CCAGUUGACACAGGGUGCCACUGCUGGACCCUUUGGUGGCGACAGCUUCACUCAGUAAGACAGGACACGGUCACCUUCCUGGCAAGAGAGAGGGCAGCGAACCCUGUGUUGGGGUGGCAGUAGGAGCAGGAGAUGGGCACCGUGCUCACCCACAGGCCAGGCAUGUGCCAGAAGUCCUGUCACUGGGGAUUUUUUUAAAAAUAGACUGGAUGAAACACAAGACGGUGGAUGGACAGAUCGGUCCUGCCUUGGCCGGGGGACAGGUCUCCACGAAUGGCAGGUCUCAGUCUGGAACUGAUUUGACUCCAGUCACCAGAGCCGCUGCUACCAGGGAUUUUGUAAGAGUCUGCAAGGCCUUUAAUCUCUUCCCCUACAAAUAGCUCUGCAAACGCCUCUCCUGGCACCGUGCCCCAGGGAGCUGUGAGCAUCCCUGCACCACGCCACGACCUCACAAGCACCCAGCUGUACCCCCCGGGAGGGUCACCUGCCUCGUGUCCCUUCUCUAGCUCAGAACCGUGCCUGGGGAUGACAGGGAUGUGGCAAGCAAUGGAUUCAUGGUCCCUGUGCUCUCCUGCCUGGGGUGACAGGGAGGUCUCCACGAGGAAUUUCGGUGCAGAUGUUUAAUAACAGCGGGACACGUGAAGUCUUGUUCGCCUUCACGGCUAUCGGUGCUGCUCAGCCACGC
This 685-nucleotide long non-coding RNA is filed under the name Anas platyrhynchos platyrhynchos (common mallard). RNAcentral describes it as "lncRNA (ENSAPLG00000030621.1)". The record is from RNAcentral. Lineage: Eukaryota; Metazoa; Chordata; Aves; Anseriformes; Anatidae.